UACGUAGGGGGCAAACGUUGCUCGGAAUUACUGGGCGUAAAGGGUGUGCAGGUGGCUGAGCAAGUCGAAGAUGAAAUCCCGAGGCUCAACCUCGGAAUUGUCUUUGAAACUGUUCAGCUUGAGGAUAACUGAGGAGGACGGAAUUCCCGGUGGAGCGGUGAAAUGCGUAGAUAUCGGGAGGAACACCAGAGGCGAAGGCGGUUCUCUGAGUUAUUCCUGACACUGAGACACGAAAGCUAGGGGAGCGAACGGGAUUAGAUACCCGAGUA
RNAcentral lists this ribosomal RNA (269 nucleotides) under uncultured prokaryote. RNAcentral describes it as "partial 16S ribosomal RNA". It matches the Rfam family "Bacterial small subunit ribosomal RNA", at positions 524 to 792 of the family's 1533-position model. The record is from RNAcentral.